This 406-nucleotide ribosomal RNA is filed under the name uncultured bacterium. RNAcentral describes it as "partial 16S ribosomal RNA". It matches the Rfam family "Bacterial small subunit ribosomal RNA", at positions 29 to 526 of the family's 1533-position model. The record is from RNAcentral.
AUUGAACGCUGGCGGCAGGCCUAACACAUGCAAGUCGAACGAGUGGCGGACGGGUGAGUAAUGUCUGGGAAACUGCCCGAUGGAGGGGGAUAACUACUGGAAACGGUAGCUAAUACCGCAUACCAUCGGAUGUACCCAGAUGGGAAUAGCUAGUAGGUGGGGUAACGGCUCACCUAGGCGACGAUCCCUAGCUGGUCUGAGAGGAUGACCAGCGAGACUGGGAAUGAGACACGGCCCAGACGCCAACGGGAGGCAGCAGUGGGGAAGAUUGCACAAUGGGCGCAAGCCUGAUGCAGCCAGGCCGCGUGUAGGAAGAAGGCCUUCGGGUUGUAAAGUACUUCCAGCGAGGAGGCGUUACUCGCAGAAGAAGCACCGGCUAACGCCGUGCCAGCAGCCGCGGUAAUUC